UAGCGUAUGUUAAAGUUGUUGCGGCUAAAAAGCUCGUAGUUGGAUUUCUGUUGAGGACAUCCGGUCCACUCUAUGAGUGUGCAUCUGGCAUGGCCUCGGCAUCCGCCCUGCAAACGUGUCUGCGCUUGAUUGCGUGGCAUGGAGGUAGGGCCUUUUACUUUGAGGAAAUUAGAGUGUUCACGGCAGGCAAUCGCCUUGAAUAUAUUAGCAUGGAAUAAUAAUAUAGGAUCUUGGUUCUAUUUUGUUGGUUUCUAGGGCUAGGAUAAUGAUUAAUAGGGACAGUUGGGGGCAUUCGUAUUGCGGUGUC
This 307-nucleotide ribosomal RNA is filed under the name Amoebophrya sp. RNAcentral describes it as "SSU rRNA". It matches the Rfam family "Eukaryotic small subunit ribosomal RNA", at positions 595 to 906 of the family's 1831-position model. Lineage: Eukaryota; Dinophyceae; Syndiniales; Amoebophryaceae. The record is from RNAcentral.